AUCAAUUUGUUUCUUAAGCACAACUCCUCCAAGUCCAAUAAUUUAUCUUGACUGCACAAAUCUUACAAUGACUGCAUGAUGAUGAUUAUGUGGGAGAGGGAAUGUUUGGGCAACUAAUGUUGUGGAUAAAAUAAAUAGUAGCUAAAGAUAGAGAGGAGCAUAAGUAAUGUGUAUACUAAAGGAGGAAAGGGAAAUAAUUUGGAUAAUUUUGAAAAGUUUUGAUGUUAGCCAAUAUUAGACCAACUUCAUGGUUGGGCUCCUCAACCGCUCAAGCUGUGAAGAGCGAGGACCAUUCACUUCCACGAAUGGAGAAAAUGCAUGAACAGAGAAGCUUCCAACCGCGCCUACCUCUCUUUCUCUCUCUCUCAAAUUCCUUCGGGCUCCACUUAGCUCUCUAAAGGGGAAUAUUACUGUAGGGAAGAAGGGCCCAGAUAUAAGUAUUGGGUUGUGGACUGUGUCCGAGGACGUCAGAUAGCCCGAGGACAGGUAAAUACUAACGAGGGCGUACUGGUUAAUGAACCGUGAAAGAAGUCUAGCCAUAAGGAACUGGGAAAUGUUGUCUGCGGAGAAGUGUCUCCUCGGCUAAAGUCAAAGGUCCAACCCUUCAUGAAGUACAAGGUAACAAGCAAUUGUGUUGGUGAGGAUAAACAUCCAAUAGGGAUAAAACAAAAGAGAGUUGGGAAAUAUCUGAGAAAAAAGCUGCUACUACCGUAUUAAAUACUCCGCAUCUAAUCCCUGACCGCAUUAAUGUGGAGGUGAUAUCUAAACAGUAAUCUUCAGCCUUACAUCUAUCCCCGAAGACUUUAGGAAGGUGCUGAUGGGACAAAUAUCAAAGCUAACAAUCUGAUCUACACGUGAAGGGCUGAGAUGAAAGAAUGGAAGGAGAAUAUAAAGGAGAAAAACCCUAUUACAGAGGAUCAUCAGAAAAUCUAAGGAAAAAUCAUUGUACACUCAAGAACAGUAAAUUUGUAUAAGUCUGAGAGAAAUAUAUAAGAACAAAUCAUCCACAGACUUGAUCGAGGAGAGCUUUCUUGCUUAAACUGUUUGUUGUAUUCUUCCCAACCAUAACUAACCUAUUGUAACUACUAUCUACUUAUCUCAUUGAAAGUUCAUUUUCAAGCCCA
Quercus robur (English oak) is the source of this 1124-nucleotide long non-coding RNA. RefSeq lists it as uncharacterized. The record is from RefSeq and is a predicted model, not a curated record. The transcript is spliced from 2 exons. NCBI's taxonomy places the organism in Eukaryota, Viridiplantae, Streptophyta, Magnoliopsida, Fagales, Fagaceae.